RNAcentral lists this ribosomal RNA (253 nucleotides) under uncultured bacterium. RNAcentral's name for it is "partial 16S ribosomal RNA". It matches the Rfam family "Bacterial small subunit ribosomal RNA", at positions 524 to 776 of the family's 1533-position model. The record is from RNAcentral.
UACAGAGGGUGCAAACGUUGCUCGGAAUUAUUGGGCGUAAAGCGCGUGUAGGCGGCUUGUUAAGUUGGUCGUGAAAGCCCAUGGCUCAACCAUGGAAGUGCAACCAAAACUGGCAAGCUUGAGUCCCGAAGAGGAUGGCGGAAUUCCCAGUGUAGAGGUGAAAUUCGUAGAUAUUGGGAGGAACAUCGGUGGCGAAGGCGGCCAUCUGGGAGGGUACUGACGCUGAGACGCGAAAGCGUGGGUAGCAAACAGG